This 433-nucleotide ribosomal RNA is filed under the name uncultured bacterium. RNAcentral describes it as "partial 16S ribosomal RNA". It matches the Rfam family "Bacterial small subunit ribosomal RNA", at positions 29 to 507 of the family's 1533-position model. The record is from RNAcentral.
AGCGAACGCUGGCGGCAGGCCUAACACAUGCAAGUCGAACGGAUCCUUCGGGAUUAGUGGCGGACGGGUGAGUAACACGUGGGAACGUGCCCUUUGGUUCGGAACAACUCAGGGAAACUUGAGCUAAUACCGGAUGUGCCCUUCGGGGGAAAGAUUUAUCGCCAUUGGAGCGGCCCGCGUCUGAUUAGCUAGCUGGUGAGGUAACGGCCCACCAAGGCGACGAUCAGUAGCUGGUCUGAGAGGAUGAUCAGCCACACUGGGACUGAGACACGGCCCAGACUCCUACGGGAGGCAGCAGUGGGGAAUCUUGCGCAAUGGGCGAAAGCCUGACGCAGCCAUGCCGCGUGAAUGAUGAAGGUCUUAGGAUUGUAAAAUUCUUUCAGCGGGGACGAUAAUGACGGUACCCGCAGAAGAAGCUCCGGCUAACUUCGUG